RNAcentral lists this ribosomal RNA (771 nucleotides) under Triticum aestivum (bread wheat). RNAcentral's name for it is "partial small subunit ribosomal RNA". The record is from RNAcentral. Lineage: Eukaryota; Viridiplantae; Streptophyta; Magnoliopsida; Poales; Poaceae.
AUGAUGUAUGGGCAUGGGAUCGAGGGGUUGGGCUUCUUCCACCUCGAGGUCCCUGAUGCUCCUCCGCCGUCUCCUUCCCUUCAGGCGAUUGUCACUGUCGUCGAUGGCGUGGCAUCCCCGGAGAUGAUUGAGGCGGAGCUCAACCAUCUCUACCGUCACCAGUGGGACUGGGUGGUCACCCCCACCGCUGGCCACAUCUUCUCUGUCGUCUUCCCCGACUCUGUCAGCUACGGCUACGCGAUGCGUAGUGGCCGGAUCACUCUCGCCCUCAACCAGCUGGUGGUUGAGAUCUCCGAGCCGGUUCUCGAUGCUCAGGCCGUGGCCAUCCUCGACACCGCCUGGAUCCUCAUCUCCGGCCUUCCCGAUAUUGCGCGGUCCGAGCUCGUCAUCCGCCAGAUGUCCCGUCUUUUGGGCAAGGUGGUGGUGGUUGAUGAGCUCUCUCUACGCAAGGAGGAGGAGGUCCGGGUCAAGGUCAAGUGCCUCGACUCCUCCAAGCUUCACACCUCAGUCCGCGUCUUCUUCAACGACCAGGGCUUCGACCUCAGGAUCGCCCCCGAGCCUCCCAACCACGUUGGGCGCCCCCGCUCCUUCGACGCUGGCCUCCCUGGUGGCAACCCGGGGGCUGGUGGGGACUACCACGGCCGGCACCGUUCCCACCGCUCGGAUGAGGAGGGGGCUUCCGAGGACUCCCGCUCCCCUUCACCCUCGCCCCCACCUGCCGGGGGGGGGGGGCAAGGGCCGCCAGGCCGUCCCUCUCCCUCGGCUGGGUGA